Non-coding RNA from Caenorhabditis elegans, 104 nucleotides. The record is from Ensembl. NCBI's taxonomy places the organism in Eukaryota, Metazoa, Nematoda, Chromadorea, Rhabditida, Rhabditidae.
AGGGUCCAGGCAAUGAGACGGUUGGUGUUCCGGGCGGGGGUAAACACGAAGAGGCAUGGGCACUGAAGCCAUCCAUCUAAGAAUAUUUAUUAGUCAGAUGCGCG